UUGACUUACUUUUCCAGUAAGUGUGGGUAGGUAAUAAUUCCUCUUUUAAAAUUUAUUUAGGGGUUCCCAUCAUGCGUGGCUCAGCAGAAAACCAAUCUGACUAGGAACCUCGAGGUUGCGGGUUCGAUCCCUGUCCUCGCUCCAUGGGUUAAGGAUCUGGUGUUGCCGUGAACUGUGGUGUAGGUUGCAGAUGUGGCUGGGAUCUUUACUGUGGCUUUGACGUAGGCUGGUGGCUACAGCUCUGAUUGGACCUCUAGCCUGGGAACCUCCAUAUGCCGCAGGUGUGGCCCUAAAAGGAAAAAAAAAAUUAUUUAGAACUCUCAGUUAUAGAGAUACUUAUUACUAAAUUGAACCUUCUGCAAAAACUGCUGAAGAUAUUCUUAGGAGCAAAAACCUAAGCCUAGCCGUGGCAUGACUAUUCAGUUUAGACAAGCUUAAAUAGCUAAUAUCCAAAGUAAUUGUCAGAUUGCUACAUUAUGCAUAAUCUUACAGAAUCUAUGCUUUUGUAUACACGUAUCCUUUUCACAUUUUGAAAUAAGAAAAAUAUAAAUGAAUGGGGCAGAAGAGUAGGUUCAAUUACUUUGGUUCUGUCAUUAAAUCUCUACUAACCAUUUAAUACAAUGUAUGUAGACUCCGUUUCCAAACUUUAUUCUUCAAGUUUUACCUCAUCAUGUGGUAGAAUAAAGAGGAGCUUCUUCACAAUUUUGUUUAAUUAUAAUGUUAUGAUUCAUAUCCACGUAAUGAGAAGUCUUAACUUGAACUAUAAGAACAAAAGUCAAAAAAGCUGGAGAAUCUCAUGAUCACUGUAAGAUUUAUUCUUCAAAGACAUUCUUUUCAUUUUUUGAGAUAUGCUAAUAAAAGAAGAGGUGUGGAAUCUAAAGUUUGGCAAGUGCAUGUAUGAAAUCUUUGCUUUUCAGGCUUCACGUUAAUAGAUUUUUCUUCCCUGUUGACUCCCUUCCUUCCUUUCUUCCUUCUGUCUUUUUUCUUUUCUCUUCUUUUCUUUCUCACAUCUUCCUUCCUUUCUAUUAAUUUCUGCAAUUUCUUCCCAGAAGCUCCUGUAAUUUUAAACCUUGAAUACUUGAUUGGAUUUAAGGAGGAAAAUCCAUAUCCAGAUUUAUUCUAAAGGUAUCUUACUACUUUAGACAAAGGGAGGAAAUUUUAUUCAAAAAUAUAGUUGGAACUCUGCUUUCAAACCUGACACCAACAUAUGAACAAGUCCUUUAAGUCGUGCUGUAGGCAACCUCUGCCUGUCCCUCACUCACCUUAACCAUUUCUCAAGGUUUCUGCAUUUCUCUCUCUUUUUUUUUGCUUUAUUUAUUUAUUUGUAAAAUACUUAUUUUAUUCUAUUUUAAUACUCCUUAAAGUUAGCUGAAACAGUUUUGGCUUUAUUAUUUGAUGAAAUUAAUUUUAAGUAAAGUAUUAAUGUGGAUUUAUUAAAUGUAUUAUGCCUUAUGCUUCUUAAAGUAUUAAAAUACAUCUCCAAAUCAAAUAUACUUCAAUUUACAGGAAAAAAAAAAAAAA
RNAcentral lists this long non-coding RNA (1521 nucleotides) under Sus scrofa (pig). RNAcentral's name for it is "lncRNA (ENSSSCG00015027377.1)". The record is from RNAcentral. Lineage: Eukaryota; Metazoa; Chordata; Mammalia; Artiodactyla; Suidae.